This 253-nucleotide ribosomal RNA is filed under the name uncultured bacterium. RNAcentral's name for it is "partial 16S ribosomal RNA". It matches the Rfam family "Bacterial small subunit ribosomal RNA", at positions 524 to 776 of the family's 1533-position model. The record is from RNAcentral.
UACGAAGGGGGCUAGCGUUGUUCGGAAUUACUGGGCGUAAAGCGAGCGUAGGUUGCUCGACAAGUCAGUGGUGAAAUCCCGGAGCUCAACUUCGGAACUGCCAUUGAAACUGUCGAGCUGGAAUCUCAGAGGGGAUAGCGGAAUUCCAAAUGUAGGGGUGAAAUCCGUAGAUAUUUGGAGGAACACCGGUGGCGAAGGCGGCUAUCUGAAUGAGUAUUGACACUGAGGCUCGAAAGCGUGGGGAUCAAACAGG